GUGCCAGCAGCCGCGGUAAUUCCAGCUCCAAUAGCGUAUAUUAAAGUUGUUGUGGUUAAAAAGCUCGUAGUUGAACCUUGGGCCUGGCUGGCCGGUCCGCCUCACCGCGUGCACUGGUCCGGCCGGGCCUUUCCCUCUGUGGAACCCCAUACCCUUCACUGGGCGUGGCGGGGAAACAGGACAUUUACUUUGAAAAAAUUAGAGUGCUCCAGGCAGGCCUAUGCUCGAAUACAUUAGCAUGGAAUAAUAAAAUAGGACGCGCGGUUCUAUUUUGUUGGUUUAUAGGACCGCCGUAAUGAUUAAUAGGGACAGUCGGGGGCAUCAGUAUUCAACUGUCAGAGGUGAAAUUCUUGGAUCAGUUGAAGACUAACUACUGCGAAAGCAUUUGCCAAGGAUGUUUUCAUUAAUCAGGAACGAAAGUUAGGGGAUCGAAGACGAUCAGAUACCGUCGUAGUCUUAACCAUAAACUAUGCCGACUAGGGAUCGGACGGUGUUAUUCAUGACCCGUUCGGCACCUUACGAGAAAUCAAAGUGCUUGGGCUCCAGGGGGAGUAUGGUCGCAAGGCUGAAACUUAAAGAAAUUGACGGAAGGGCACCACCAGGGGUGGAGCCUGCGGCUUAAUUUGACUCAACACGGGGAAACUCACCAGGUCCAGACACAAUAAGGAUUGACUGAUUGAGAGCUCUUUCUUGAUUUUGUGGUGGUGGUGCAUGGCCGUUCUUAGUUGGUGGGGUGACUUGUCUGCUUAAUUGCGAUAACGAACGAGACCUUAACCUGCUAAAUAGCCCGCAUUGCUCCGGCAGUGCGCUGGCUUCUUAGAGGGACUUU
RNAcentral lists this ribosomal RNA (829 nucleotides) under uncultured fungus. RNAcentral's name for it is "SSU rRNA". It matches the Rfam family "Eukaryotic small subunit ribosomal RNA", at positions 564 to 1423 of the family's 1831-position model. Lineage: Eukaryota; Fungi. The record is from RNAcentral.